This 254-nucleotide ribosomal RNA is filed under the name uncultured prokaryote. Its description in RNAcentral is "partial 16S ribosomal RNA". It matches the Rfam family "Bacterial small subunit ribosomal RNA", at positions 524 to 777 of the family's 1533-position model. The record is from RNAcentral.
UACGGAGGAUGCGAGCGUUAUCCGGAUUUAUUGGGUUUAAAGGGUGCGUAGGCGGCUUAGUAAGUCAGCGGUGAAAUUUUGCAGCUUAACUGUAACAGUGCCGUUGAUACUGCCAGGCUAGGAUUUGGUUGCUGCGGGUGGAAUGUGUGGUGUAGCGGUGAAAUGCUUAGAUAUCACACAGAAUAUCGAUUGCGAAGGCAGCUCACAAAGCCAAGAUUGACGCUGAGGCACGAAAGUGUGGGGAUCAAACAGGA